This 254-nucleotide ribosomal RNA is filed under the name uncultured bacterium. RNAcentral describes it as "partial 16S ribosomal RNA". It matches the Rfam family "Bacterial small subunit ribosomal RNA", at positions 524 to 776 of the family's 1533-position model. The record is from RNAcentral.
UACGUAGGGCGCAAGCGUUAUCCGGAAUUAUUGGGCGUAAAGAGCUCGUAGGCGGUCUGUCGCGUCGGUCGUGAAAACUUGGGGCUUAACCCUGAGCUUGCGGUCGAUACGGGCAUGACUGGAGUUCGGUAGGGGAGACUGGAAUUCCUGGUGUAGCGGUGAAAUGCGCAGAUAUCAGGAGGAACACCGGGGGCGAAGGCGGGUCUCUGGGCCGAUACUGACGCUGAGGAGCGAAAGCGUGGGGAGCGAACAGG